UGAAAUAUUAAUGUACUCCUCAGGACCACAUAUUUUGACCAUAAUUCCAGAUCUGUUUGCGGAUACUACUGUGCUUGAACAUCGUCCGGUGGGAGAAACUAACUCCUUGGAAAAGAUUAAUUAUGGCUACUGUCGAUGUCUAGCAAGACAAGCUCACCACUUCUAACCUUCACGCUUCAAAGCCGUCAAAACCUAAAAUAUAUGGGAAGAAAAAAGUCUUCUACCCCAACAAAUGCAGAGGAAGAGUAUAUGAAAGAGAGUCCAUAGUCAGGUAGCCUUCAAGAAGUAAAAAGGAUGUUGCAUAAUAUGGGAGCCAGCCAGACUAAAGUGUCUGCUAGGCUUGAUAGACAGCACAAGGACAUGAAAUACUUGUAAAAUAUUAAGGAAGCGAGGAAGGAUUCUGCAACACUUUGUGAUGAUACUGCAAUACUGCGUAAACAAAUGGAUGGACUGGAAGGAAAAGUGAUUGGACUCGAGGAGGAAGUGAAUGUAUUAAAGAAGGAAAAUAAUGAAAAGAAUCAGAAAUCAAAAGAUGUGUCAGAUUCAGGAAGUACACGAGUCUGUUCGCAUGAACAAUGUGAUUAUGACUGGCCUUCAGAUAACACGCAUGCCUAAUGGAAAAGCAGCUGAUAACAGAGGAUAAGAACAAUAUGCUGCUACUUCAACAGUGCAACAGAUGGACAACACUCUGAGAUCAAAGGGGAUGAAUGUGUUAACAACAUCGAAACAUGCAUUCCAAUGUCUGGCAGGAAUAAGGCCACACAUGUCAUCAUCAUUUGUCCACCAACAAAACGGCUUUGUGGACGCAGCAAGUCAAAAUGAAGGGAACAAACGUCUACAUCAAUGAGUAUCUGACAAAACACAAUGCUGACAUCGCCAAAAAGGCACACUAGUUGAGGAAGCAGGGAAAAUUUCAGGGGCCUUGAAGUGCUAACUGUAAAAUCUACAUCAAGUUAAAAUGUAGGACAGGAUUCAGAAGUGAAAGUACGUGUUGUUAAAGACAUUAAGGAACUGGACAAAUACAGAAGAUGACUUUAUCUCCACUGCAAGGACAUAAUCAGACUGGGGGGAGCAGGCAGGGCAGAAUCUUCUCGACUGCAGACGUGGAGACAUAAGAGGAGGAACUCAGGGGAUCCUUCUCCUUGCUACAAAAAGAGGAUAAUGACAAGAUGGAGACGUAAGGAGCGAGGAAAUUACUUAAAGAGGGGAGAACAGAGGCCCUGAAUAGAAAGUUAUGUUAUUAUCAUGUGGUGUUAUGUUAUAAAAACUCAUGAUAUCAUGUUAUGUUGUGCUAUUCUACGAUAUAUUAUGUUUCACAUCAAAUGUUUUUUUUAGUAUGUUAUGUGUUUUUUUUUUCCUGCCACUCAUAUCAGCAUGGUAAUUGAUGGAAAACUACUGGAAAAAAGCAAUAUUGGGGAAGUUAGCAAACAAUUGAUGAGGAGUUAUGACGCUAACUUAAGGAUAAUGUUGAUUUUUUUUUAAAAAAGCAGUCAUCAAACUGUCAAGCAGCUAAGACGGCAGUUAUCACCUUUAAUUCUAAGCUUCCAGCUGUUAAUAUACUCAUACUAAAAUCAUGAUUUUAAAAUUGGAUUUGUCUUUGAUUUUGGUUUGAAAAAUAAAAGAGGUGUGUCACC
Molecule: long non-coding RNA, 1634 nt
Organism: Entelurus aequoreus (snake pipefish)
Lineage: Eukaryota; Metazoa; Chordata; Actinopteri; Syngnathiformes; Syngnathidae
Exons: 3
Source: RefSeq, a predicted model, not a curated record